Molecule: ribosomal RNA, 252 nt
Filed under: uncultured bacterium
Lineage: Bacteria
Description: partial 16S ribosomal RNA
Rfam family: Bacterial small subunit ribosomal RNA
Source: RNAcentral
UACGGAGGAUGCGAGCGUUAUCCGGAUUUAUUGGGUCUAAAGGGUGCGUAGGCGGUCCGUUAAGUCAGCGGUAAAAUUGCGGGGCUCAACCCCGUCGAGCCGUUGAAACUGUCAGACUUGAGUUGGCGAGAAGUACGCGGAAUGCGCGGUGUAGCGGUGAAAUGCAUAGAUAUCGCGCAGAACUCCGAUUGCGAAGGCAGCGUACCGGCGCCACACUGACGCUGAGGCACGAAAGCGUGGGGAUCGAACAGG